This 434-nucleotide ribosomal RNA is filed under the name uncultured Ruminococcus sp. Its description in RNAcentral is "partial 16S ribosomal RNA". It matches the Rfam family "Bacterial small subunit ribosomal RNA", at positions 341 to 792 of the family's 1533-position model. Lineage: Bacteria; Bacillati; Bacillota; Clostridia; Eubacteriales; Oscillospiraceae. The record is from RNAcentral.
ACGGGAGGCAGCAGUGGGGAAUAUUGCACAAUGGGCGCAAGCCUGAUGCAGCGAUGCCGCGUGAGGGAAGAAGGUUUUCGGAUUGUAAACCUCUGUCAUCGGGGACGAUAAUGACUGUACCCGAGAAGGAAGCUCCGGCUAACUACGUGCCAGCAGCCGCGGUAAUACGUAGGGAGCGAGCGCUAUCCGGAAUUACUGGGUGUAAAGGGAGUGUAGGCGGGAACGUAAGUCAGGUGUGCAAUAUACCGGCUCAACUGGUAGACUGCAUUUGAAACUGCGGUUCUUGAGUGGAGUAGAGGUAAGCGGAAUUCCUAGUGUAGCGGUGAAAUGCGUAGAUAUUAGGAGGAACAUCAGUGGCGAAGGCGGCUUACUGGGCUUUAACUGACGCUGAGGCUCGAAAGCGUGGGGAGCAAACAGGAUUAGAUACCCUGGUA